GGUGGCUCAGUGGUAGAGCACUUGCCUUGCACUUGCAUGCAUGAGGCCCUGGGUUCGAUUCCUCAGCACCA
This 71-nucleotide transfer RNA is filed under the name Dipodomys ordii (Ord's kangaroo rat). It matches the Rfam family "tRNA". Rfam says of the family: Transfer RNA (tRNA) molecules are approximately 80 nucleotides in length. Their secondary structure includes four short double-helical elements and three loops (D, anti-codon, and T loops). The record is from Rfam by way of RNAcentral. Lineage: Eukaryota; Metazoa; Chordata; Mammalia; Rodentia; Heteromyidae.